CAGAAAGAUGAUGAUCAGCUACUGAUUUCCACCAGCUUCCCCAUCAGGCAGCCAGUCUCUCUUCGUUCAGUCAUUGCAUUCGCAUCUAUGAACUCUGCAGGACGUGGGGUAUGCCAUAAGCAGUCAAAUCAUAUUCCUCUCUUCUCCCCAAGACAUGGGCAGCUAUGAUGAGCAGAAAGUACCUGCUUGCUAGUCAAAAAGGCUGUAGUGUAGCCUAUUAGCAAUUCCCUCCUUUAGUUUACUCAAUCACUCUAUUCACCAGGUGCAUCAAGGAAUCACUCCCCCUCUGGGCCAGUGCAAAAGAUAGAUUAAUUAUGUUAAUCAUCCACUCUAGGCAGCUAAUGUACAAAACACCCCUCCCAGUGCCCCCUCCCCCCCAUUCCUCCAGUAAUUCUUUUCCAUCUACACUUCUUACAUCUGGGUGUUCCCUGAAUGCCUGACUUUGCAUGGGGACAAGGUCUGGAGACAGAAGUCAAUCCUUUUCUCUAGUCAUUCACCAGCCAGAGCAUAUGACCAAGAUGAUAUUCUGCAUUAUGGGAUGCUAUCCGUUCUGGACAAUGGACAUCCAUCAAGCCAUGGAGAUCCACCAAGAAGUGAAGAAGUGCAUCCAUGGAAUCUUGGUUUCAUCAUGAAGACUGUUAAGUGUAGGUGAAGUCCAGUUUAUUCAAAACAAAAAUUUUGUAGUCAGAUUCUCACUAAAACAUAAAAUCUGUUGGACACGACUACAGAAGAACAUGAUUGAAUUAAGAAUUUAAAUUCAUUUUUUAUUUACCACAAAAUUCAUUCUGAAUACAUAGUAUUAUAUUAUAUAUUGAAAGAGUGGAGACAAGAAACAGAAGGAAUGAUACCCAUACCAAUGAUACCCAUGAUACCCUUAGGGAACAUUCAUGAGUUUUUUUUCAAAUGCUGUUUGUUUUGCAUGUUUUAAAAUUUUAACUUUGCUUUGGGUAUGUCAUUUCCCAUUAGAUUGUAAAUGUGACAUAUUCUUGUGUAUCAGCUCUACUGUUCUGUGAAAUGGCACUGAAAUACUGUAGAUGUUUUAUCAAUUAAAUAAAUAAAGGUCC
This 1064-nucleotide long non-coding RNA is filed under the name Anas platyrhynchos platyrhynchos (common mallard). RNAcentral's name for it is "lncRNA (ENSAPLG00000029330.1)". The record is from RNAcentral. Lineage: Eukaryota; Metazoa; Chordata; Aves; Anseriformes; Anatidae.